UGGAGAGUUCUCUGGGCCCUGCCGACACUUUUCAGAAGCUAACUUGGAGUCAGGAAUGUCACACCUCCCAGGACCCCAAGCAAUCAGCUCGUCUAUAAUCUCUCUUACACACCAGUGCUCUAUUGGAUAAGCAGUUUGCUAGGCCAGAGCUCAAAGGCCCCCCAAUCUUGGCCUUGCCUCCAUUUCACCCAUUCACUCCAUAAACACCUACUGAGCGCCUCAUGUGUGCCAGGCACUGUUCCAGGUGCCAGCGUGAGCGAGACUGUCUUUACCCUCACGGAGCUGAAGUUCUAGUAGGGAAGAGACAGUGAAGACAUGACACAGAAAUCCAGAAUGUUACUGCAGGGAGUGAUCCAUGCUAUGGAGACGAAGCUCCUAGAGAGGGCUACCAGGAUCACUCCGGCUGCUGCACUGACAUCUGACUGAGGAGGCCGGAAAGGAACAGGAACAGCACCCGGAGGCAUAGGUGACUGUGCAGGAGCCUCACCUCGCUCUCACGCUGACGCCUGUUCCUCCCACCCGCCCUGCCGUGAAUGUGGUCAGUGCUCCUCUUGUGCCUGCAUUUCAGCACCGGCCUCCCAGCUGGGUUUCCUUCCUUGGGGCCCCUGAACCUCUUUCUCAUCGAAUCCCCUUCUAGGAUUAUCCUCUGAAA
Molecule: long non-coding RNA, 652 nt
Organism: Hyaena hyaena (striped hyena)
Lineage: Eukaryota; Metazoa; Chordata; Mammalia; Carnivora; Hyaenidae
Exons: 2
Source: RefSeq, a predicted model, not a curated record